RNAcentral lists this ribosomal RNA (1575 nucleotides) under Salmonella enterica subsp. enterica serovar Schwarzengrund. RNAcentral's name for it is "partial 23S ribosomal RNA". It matches the Rfam family "Bacterial large subunit ribosomal RNA", at positions 1273 to 2827 of the family's 2925-position model. Lineage: Bacteria; Pseudomonadati; Pseudomonadota; Gammaproteobacteria; Enterobacterales; Enterobacteriaceae. The record is from RNAcentral.
CUGGAGGUAUCAGAAGUGCGAAUGCUGACAUAAGUAACGAUAAAGCGGGUGAAAAGCCCGCUCGCCGGAAGACCAAGGGUUCCUGUCCAACGUUAAUCGGGGCAGGGUGAGUCGACCCCUAAGGCGAGGCCGAAAGGCGUAGUCGAUGGGAAACGGGUUAAUAUUCCCGUACUUGGUGUUACUGCGAAGGGGGGACGGAGAAGGCUAUGUUGGCCGGGCGACGGUUGUCCCGGUUUAAGCGUGUAGGUGUGUGUUCCAGGUAAAUCCGGUUCACUUUAACACUGAGGCGUGAUGACGAGGCACUACGGUGCUGAAGCAACAAAUGCCCUGCUUCCAGGAAAAGCCUCUAAGCAUCAGGUAACAUCAAAUCGUACCCCAAACCGACACAGGUGGUCAGGUAGAGAAUACCAAGGCGCUUGAGAGAACUCGGGUGAAGGAACUAGGCAAAAUGGUGCCGUAACUUCGGGAGAAGGCACGCUGACACGUAGGUGAAGUGAUUUACUCAUGGAGCUGAAGUCAGUCGAAGAUACCAGCUGGCUGCAACUGUUUAUUAAAAACACAGCACUGUGCAAACACGAAAGUGGACGUAUACGGUGUGACGCCUGCCCGGUGCCGGAAGGUUAAUUGAUGGGGUCAGCGCAAGCGAAGCUCCUGAUCGAAGCCCCGGUAAACGGCGGCCGUAACUAUAACGGUCCUAAGGUAGCGAAAUUCCUUGUCGGGUAAGUUCCGACCUGCACGAAUGGCGUAAUGAUGGCCAGGCUGUCUCCACCCGAGACUCAGUGAAAUUGAACUCGCUGUGAAGAUGCAGUGUACCCGCGGCAAGACGGAAAGACCCCGUGAACCUUUACUAUAGCUUGACACUGAACAUUGAGCCUUGAUGUGUAGGAUAGGUGGGAGGCUUUGAAGUGUGGACGCCAGUCUGCAUGGAGCCGGCCUUGAAAUACCACCCUUUAAUGUUUGAUGUUCUAACGUGGACCCGUGAUCCGGGUUGCGGACAGUGUCUGGUGGGUAGUUUGACUGGGGCGGUCUCCUCCUAAAGAGUAACGGAGGAGCACGAAGGUUGGCUAAUCCUGGUCGGACAUCAGGAGGUUAGUGCAAUGGCAUAAGCCAGCUUGACUGCGAGCGUGACGGCGCGAGCAGGUGCGAAAGCAGGUCAUAGUGAUCCGGUGGUUCUGAAUGGAAGGGCCAUCGCUCAACGGAUAAAAGGUACUCCGGGGAUAACAGGCUGAUACCGCCCAAGAGUUCAUAUCGACGGCGGUGUUUGGCACCUCGAUGUCGGCUCAUCACAUCCUGGGGCUGAAGUAGGUCCCAAGGGUAUGGCUGUUCGCCAUUUAAAGUGGUACGCGAGCUGGGUUUAGAACGUCGUGAGACAGUUCGGUCCCUAUCUGCCGUGGGCGCUGGAGAACUGAGGGGGGCUGCUCCUAGUACGAGAGGACCGGAGUGGACGCAUCACUGGUGUUCGGGUUGUCAUGCCAAUGGCACUGCCCGGUAGCUAAAUGCGGAAGAGAUAAGUGCUGAAAGCAUCUAAGCACGAAACUUGCCCCGAGAUGAGUUCUCCCUGAGACUUAGAGUCUC